This 899-nucleotide ribosomal RNA is filed under the name uncultured marine bacterium. RNAcentral describes it as "bacterial SSU rRNA". It matches the Rfam family "Bacterial small subunit ribosomal RNA", at positions 55 to 1003 of the family's 1533-position model. The record is from RNAcentral.
GUGCAAGUCGAACGAAGUAGCAAUACUUAGUGGCAGACGGGUGAGUAACAUGUAGGUAUCUGCCCUUUGGCCUGGAAUAACACGAGGAAACUUGUGCUAAUACCGGAUAAGUCUUUACGGAGAAAGCUUUACGCACCAUUGGAUGAGCCUGCACUUGAUUAGUUUGUUGGUGGGGUAAUGGCCUACCAAGACUGUGAUCAAUAGCUGAUUUGAGAGGAUGAUCAGCCACAUUGGGACUGAGACACGGCCCAAACUCCUACGGGAGGCAGCAGUGGGAAUCUUGCACAAUGGAGGAAACUCUGAUGCAGCGAUGCCGCGUGAGUGAAGAAGGCCCUUGGGUUGUAAAGCUCUUUCGUCGGGGAAGAAAAUGACUGUACCCGAAUAAGAAGGUCCGGCUAACUUCGUGCCAGCAGCCGCGGUAAUACGAAGGGACCUAGCGUAGUUCGGAAUUACUGGGCUUAAAGAGUUCGUAGGUGGUUGAAAAAGUUAGCGGUGAAAUCCCAGAGCUUAACUCUGGAACUGCCAUUAAAACUUUUCAGCUAGAGUAUGAUAGAGGAAAGCAGAAUUUCUAGUGUAGAGGUGAAAUUCGUAGAUAUUAGAAAGGAUACCAAUUGCGAAGGCAGCUUUCUGGAUCAUUACUGACACUGAGGAACGAAAGCAUGGGUAGCGAAGAGGAUUAGAUACCCUCGUAGUCCAUGCCGUAAACGAUGUGUGUUAGACGUUGGAAAUUUAUUUUCAGUGUCGCAGGGAAACCGAUAAACACACCGCCUGGGGAGUACGACCGCAAGGUUAAAACUCAUAUGAAUUGACGGGGACCCGCACAAGUAGUGGAGCAUGUGGUUUAAUUCGAAGAUACGCGCAGAAACUUACCAACACUUGACAUGUUCGUCGCGACUCUA